Myodes glareolus (Bank vole) is the source of this 1084-nucleotide non-coding RNA. NCBI's taxonomy places the organism in Eukaryota, Metazoa, Chordata, Mammalia, Rodentia, Cricetidae. The record is from RefSeq and is a predicted model, not a curated record.
CACUGUGUAACUCAGACUGACCUGGAACUUACUAUGCUCCAUGUAACCCAGACUGGCCUCAAACUUGUAGCAAUCCUUCUGCUUCAGACUUCCAGAAUGCCAGGGUUACAUGUAUUGUUUGGUCAUGCUGGGGACUGAAUUCGGGCCCUCCCACAUGCUGGCCUAGCAGUCUACCUCUGAACCACACUGUGCCCUGUGCUGGGUGCCAGCUCCUUGUGAACAUCAGCAAGGUGUUUCCUUCAGAAGAAAGAAACGAGGGCUGAAGAGGAGGAUCAGUGGUUAGAGCACUGUCGGCUCUGGCAGAGGACCCAGCUUCAAUUCCCAGCACCCAUGGGGGCUCACAACUGUGUAACUCUAGUUCCAGAGGAUCUGGUGCUCUCUUCUGACUUCAAGGGUACCACACACAUGCAGGCUAAACACUGAUGCACACAGAUGUUAGGUUCACAGACGUUUAAGGUUUUAGGUUUUACACACACACACACACACACACACACACACACACACACACACAGAAGAUCUCAUGUAGCCAUGGCUAGCCGGAUACUCACUGUGUAGCCCAGACUGCCUGUAAACUCUUGGCAAUUCUUCCACCCCAGUGUCCUAAUGUUGGGAUUAUGGGCGUGAGCCACCAUCCCUGGCUUUGUUUUUUGCUUUUAAGAUUGUUCUUUCUAGGGUGGGGAUGAGGGACAGGGUCUCACUUUGUAGCCCAGGCUAGCCUAGAACUCACUAAAUAGCUCAGGUUAGCCUUGAUCUCAUAGCAGUUCUCCUAAUUCAGCUUUCAGAGUGCUGGGAUGGCAGACCUGACAAGCUUGAUGAAACAUGUGUGUGUGUGUUUGCGUGUGUGUGUACGUGUGUGUGUGUGUGCAUGUGUGUGUGUUUGCGUUGUGCAUGUGUGUGAUUUUUCCUUGCUAUUGUUUGGGCGUACAGUGUGGAAUGUCACGUUGUGCAUAUGGAGGUCACGGGACACCUUGUAAGAGUGUCAUUUUUCUGCUUACCCUGAGGGUCCUAGAAAUUGAACUCUGGUCAUCAGACUUGGUAGCAGGAGCCUUUACCCACUGAGAUGUCUCAUUAGCCCUUUAUUUCU